Brachypodium distachyon (stiff brome) is the source of this 4705-nucleotide RNA transcript. RefSeq lists it as uncharacterized. The transcript has 4 exons. The record is from RefSeq and is a predicted model, not a curated record. NCBI's taxonomy places the organism in Eukaryota, Viridiplantae, Streptophyta, Magnoliopsida, Poales, Poaceae.
GUCACAUGUGCAAACACUAACAUCAGUAAAGUGCCUUCGCAGAAGCAGCUUGGUUUCUUCAAUUAUCAUUGCAGAAGAAGAAAGAUUAGCAGACCGGGACAGCAACGCAUCUUUCAGAGUAGAGGAAUCAGUCUCCAGGAUCAAUUUCUGAAUCCCUUUCUAAAUGGCCAUCUUAACUCCCUAGCAUGCCGCCACUGCCUCUGCCUGGAAUGGGUUCAGCGGGCUCGGGAGAUUGCCUGUACCAGACGCCAAAGCAGAGCCAUGCCGAUCCCUGAUCACAGCACCCCAGCCGCCACUUCCUGUCAGCUCCAAAAAAGAACCAUCGCUAUUAACUUUCACCCAUUCGCCAUCAGGUUUCUGCCACUUCGUUCUUUGCUUGCAUGUUCUCACGAGUGGAGUUGCCGCAACCUCCAGAAGAUGGUUCUUUAUAAUAAAAAUGAGCUCAUAUGCAGACCGGCACAUGCCUCCCUCACGCACCUUGUUUCUUUCAAGCCACCAAUUCCACAUAAUGUUUGCCACAAGGGCCUGCUCUUUCACCUCCAAUCCCAAAAUGACAGCAAACACAUCCACGACAAGGCUUUUAUCAGUUAGAGUAAGCCGCAUCUCUUCUAGGUCCAGCCCCCGCCAAAUUCUCUUCACAUAUUUGCAUUUAAAGAGUAGAUGUCCUGAGUCUUCAUCUCUUGUCUUACAAAACAAGCAAUUUGUUUCAACAUCCAUGCCCCUUCUCCGCAGAUUACUUCUAACAGCCGAGUGUUAUGUUCAACUCUCCAAAGGAAGUGUUUUAUUUUAUUAGGCACUUGAAUUUUCCAUAACUUUAGCCAAUUGAUCUGGUUUCUCUGUAGACUAGACGGCCCAUCUCCACCCAUAUUGUUUUUUGCCUCCUCUGCAACUACAGAAGCGUGAUAUGCAGAUUUCACAGAGAACAUGCCUCUCUCAUCAGAUGCCACGUGAUUGAGUCAGCGAAGGGCGGAUGCACAGGAAUUUUUUGGAUCAUCUCGACAUCCUCCUCCCAAAAAUGUUGCCCUAUCAGAUCAUGGUUCCACCCACCUCUACCCGGGUCCAUUAGCUCUGAAACAAACUGAAUUUCACAACCCAUCCUUGGUGUCAUUGGUUUUCUAGUGAUAUGAUUAGGGAUCCAAGGGUCCUCCCAGAUUUUGAUUGAACUUCCAUUUCCCACACGCCAAAUGAUCCCCAACUUGAGGGUAUCGAUGCCUUUAAGGAUGCUCCUCCAAGUAUAGGAUAUGCCCGGCGUAGGCUUGGCUUCCAUAAUUCCGAAGUCAGGGAAAUAGCGAGCUUUGAGGAUUCUGGAGCAAAGGGAAUCAGGGUUUUGAAUCAGCCUCCAACCUUGUCUCGCAAGCAUGCCCAAAUUGAAAGAGUAGAUGUCUCUAAAACCAAGCCCGCCCUCCUUCUUGCUUUUGGUAAGUUUCCUCUAACUCAGCCAAUGCAUGGAAUUGUCCUUAUCCUGAUGGUUCCACCAAUAACGACCAAUCAUGGUAGAGAUUUGCUCACAUAUUCCCUUAGAGAUGUCAAAACAACUCAUCGUAUAAGUCGGGAUUGAUUGCGCGACUGCCUUGGUCAUGAUUUCUUUCCCUGCUCUAGACAACAGCUUCUCCUUCCACCCUUGUAUUCUCUUCCACACACGAUCCUUCAAAAAAUUGAAAACUUUCUUCUUUGAUUUUCCCACAUGAACUGGCAUGCCAAGGUAUCUAUCGUUCAAGGUUUCAUGCUGGAUAGCCAAGGUUCUCAUCACAAUUUCUUUAUCUGCGAUCCUAGUGUUAGGAUUAAACAUGAUUGCUGAUUUGUCUUUGUUGAUUACUUGCCCGGAAAAUCUCUCAUAAAGCUGAAGGGCCGCCAUCAGAGCAAGUGCAUCUUCCUCCUUAGCUCUACAAAGGAUCAGGGAAUCGUCUGCAAAGAAGAGAUGAGAAAUCUUUGGAUGGAAGCCGCAACACGCGCAGGGAACCUGGUUGAAAGGGGUUGGAAAGGGUGUGAGAAAGGCAUUUGGUAGUGGGAAGGAGAAUAUAGAUCAUCUUGCAUUGAGAUCGAUGGCUAGAUAUAUGCUUGGAGAAUUGUUAGAUAUGCUUUCCAGGUGAAAGCACGAGCACAUUUGGUAGUUGACUUAUGUGCUUGGGUAAUACGCUGGUAGCAGUGGGUCCUGAUGGAUGAUCGGAUGCAUUUUGGGUUUCUCAUACAGCAACAUUUCGAUAGUACUAAUUUUCCGUUAUUUUUCCAGGAAAAGAGAAUUUGUGCUUCUGACCACUGGCAGCUGAGUCUACAGAAGGCAGGAGAGGGACAGGCCCUCGUCAUUUCAUUUGCCAUCCUACUCUGAUUUGGACGUGUAAAGUUGGCUUUAAUUCAAGCCUGCAGGACGAGGCGUCUCACGUCAUCCACGACCUCUCCCUCUCGCCGUCUGACAUAUUUUCUCCUUGGCUGCUUCCCUUGCUGUUCCCAUACAUCACCAACACCACCUGCUGUUCCGACUUUUGGCCGUCGUUGGCAAGCAAGGCUCAUCUUUUCUGUCUCGGUUUGCAAGAGGUUCACAUUUGGGUAGCUACGCUCAUCUGGUGAAGGUCUUGUCCUGCGUUUGCUCUCUGCUUGCAACGUCCCGCCUUAUCCUGCCGCUUCUUCACCCAUGCUUCCCAGUAUAUUUUGUUGCACAUGGCGUAUACCAAGGUGGGACAGCACACAUGUACUCCCUUCGUUGCUGCAACAAGUAUUUAGGAACGGAGGAAAGCAGUCAUGUAUAGCAUGGUUGCUGUAAAGUCCAAGGGAACUACUUCCUCUUCCAAAUUAUAAGAUGUUGCGGCUGGCCUGCCGAGUUUGUUUGGUUGGUUUGAUUAUACAUGGGGAGCAGGUUUCUUGCAGUUCUGUUGCAGUGUUGGUCACGGGAGUUUGCGGCCUUUUGCAGAUGCUGUUUUGAGCGCCGUUUGCACGGAUUUGUGAGGUCUAUGCUUCUUGCUCUUUGUGUGUUUGUGCUGUCUCGUCCUUGGUUGUGCAUGUGUUCUAUGCUAGCGUCUGACAGAGGUAGGCGCAGAAGAAAUGGAGUGCACUAGAUUACAUAGGAAAACUACCUUUCAUAUUUAUUUCCUUUACAAAACUGCUAAUAACAAUUGAAUCAAUAGCCUAAAUGUAGAAAGAUCAUAUGUGCCUGUCCAAGAAUUUGUGUGCCAAAACAUCAUCGAUCCUUUUAUUGGAAACUGGAAAAGAAAGCCUGCAGUUUUGUAAAGGAAAUAAUUUAGUCUUUCAAUACUAAUGUAGAAAUAAAAUGUUAUUUGAGCUGAAAACUAUACUAAGCCUUAAUUGUGAUACGCAAAAGGCUGCGUCAAAGAAGUAAGGGACAUCAUGCAAUCGUCCUUGUUUCUGAAGUAGCACAAGAACAAGGUGUACUCUACUCUCACACAAACAGCCAAGUAAAUUAGUCAAAUACAUGCACAUGUAUAGUCAAUAGUUUGGAACUGACAUGUAAGAAAAAUUUGUACUGUACAAAUUGAUUAACAGAUUUCACAGGCACAAGCACAUGUAAGGGAGUAUCAACAUCUAGCGAUUGGUCUUCUUGGGUUAAGCUUAUUUGGUCUUCUUACUGCACUAGAUCGGUGCCUAAAUUGGAUGAUGGUGUCGGCUCCUUCUGGUGGAGAGACUUGGUUGGGCUUAUCGCUGGAUAUAAAGAGGUUGCUAGAUGUCUCCCAGGAGGCGGAUCCACUAUUUCAUUCUGGAAGGAUGCCUGGGACAGUGAUCCCUUCAUGACCAGAUUCUCGCGCAUUUUCUCGUUUGCCAUCAACAAAGAAAUCACCCUGCUCGAGUUUCACUCUGGUGAAGAUCGCUAUGACCUCUUUGCUCUGCCCCUUUCCACUCUGACUUCUGAUGAACUGCAACAUAUUAUCGCGAUUCUCCACAGCGCUGCCUUGGAUCAGACGGACCAAGACUUAUGGAUUUGUCGGUUGGGAUCUGGGGCUUUCUCCACUAAACUUUUCUAUCAGCACCACUUCCCUGCUCUCCAUCGACGCCUCAAGUCUACAUGGAUUUGGAAGAACAAUUGCUUACCUAAGAUCAAGGGCUUUGCCUGGCUCCUCUAUCGUGAUCGCGUCAAUACCAGAGACAUGAUGGACCGCAGAAACUGCAAUCGUGAUGGGGUGCUCAGUUGCGCUCUCUGUGACAGCGGAUCAAGGGAAACAAGAGAUCACCUUUUCUUUACCUGUUUCAGCGCUGAGUGCUGGCUCAGGAUUGGUGUCAACUGGUCGCCCUUGCCAUCUGAGCCUUCUCUCCCGAAUCGUCUCCACCUCGUCAAGGCUCAUGUACCUGUUAGAAUUCAUCGAGAAGUCUUCCUCUCUAUGGCCUGAGAACUUUGGAAGUGCAAAAAUGAUAAGAUUUUCAACGAGAUCACUCCCUCUGUGUUGUCUUGGUUAGCUAGACUUCAUGCCUCCCUGAAUAUUCAGAGUUGUAGACUUAAUACAGGCUCCGUCGAUGUAUUGAGGGCUGGGCUUGUGUCCCUUGCCUCGGUCCCCUGAGCUAGAUGCCUUUCUUCUCCCCCUCUAUUUGUAUCUUACAUGUACACUGUCAGAGUCUCUCCUACGGCUUUUGGUAAAAAAAAAAACAUCCAGCGAAACUGAUGCUGCAGGGGCUGCUGCACUUGUUUUGGAGUUUUUAGGGAGAGACAUAACCCGUGGAAAUGUCAUAUUUUUAAUUUUUGUGCAUAUUCUUUUAAGCUGAA